This 450-nucleotide ribosomal RNA is filed under the name uncultured Alphaproteobacteria bacterium. Its description in RNAcentral is "partial 16S ribosomal RNA". Lineage: Bacteria; Pseudomonadati; Pseudomonadota; Alphaproteobacteria. The record is from RNAcentral.
CACGAAGUUAGCCGGAGCUUAUUCUUCCGGUACGGUCAUUAUCCUCCCGGACAAAAGAGCUUUACAACCCUAAGGCCUUCAUCACUCACGCGGCAUGGCUGGAUCAGGCUUGCGCCCAUUGUCCAAUAUUCCCCACUGCUGCCUCCCGUAGGAGUCUGGGCCGUGUCUCAGUCCCAGUGUGGCUGAUCAUCCUCUCAGACCAGCUACUGAUCGUCGCCUUGGUGGGCCAUUACCCCACCAACUAGCUAAUCAGACGCGGGCCGAUCCAAAGGCGAUAAAUCUUUCCCCUUUCGGGCACAUACGGUAUUAGCUCCAGUUUCCCGGAGUUGUUCCGUACCUUUGGGCACGUUCCCACGUGUUACUCACCCGUCUGCCACUCCCCUUGCGGGGCGUUCGACUUGCAUGUGUUAAGCCUGCCGCCAGCGUUCGUUCUGAGCCAGGAUCAAACUC